UGCGUGCUUAACACAUGCAAGUCGAACGCUGAAGCCGACAGCUUGCUGUUGGUGGAUGAGUGGCGAACGGGUGAGUAACACGUGAGUAACCUGCCCCUGAUUUCGGGAUAAGCCUGGGAAACCGGGUCUAAUACCGGAUACGACCAACCCUCGCAUGAGGGUUGGUGGAAAGUUUUUCGAUCAGGGAUGGGCUCGCGGCCUAUCAGCUUGUUGGUGGGGUAAUGGCCCACCAAGGCGACGACGGGUAGCCGGCCUGAGAGGGCGACCGGCCACACUGGGACUGAGACACGGCCCAGACUCCUACGGGAGGCAGCAGUGGGGAAUAUUGCACAAUGGGGGAAACCCUGAUGCAGCGACGCAGCGUGCGGGAUGACGGCUUCGGGUUGUAAACCGCUUUCAGCAGGGAAGAAGCGAAAGUGACGGUACCUGCAGAAGAAGUACCGGCUAACUACGUGCCAGCAGCCGCGGUAAUACGUAGGGUACGAGCGUUGUCCGGAAUUAUUGGGCGUAAAGAGCUCGUAGGUGGUUGGUCACGUACUGCUGUGGAAACGCAACGCUUAACGUUGCGCGUGCAGUGGGUACGGGCUGACUAGAGUGCAGUAGGGGAGUCUGGAAUUCCUGGUGUAGCGGUGAAAUGCGCAGAUAUCAGGAGAACACCGGUGGCGAAGGCGGGACUCUGGGCUGUAACUGACACUGAGGAGCGAAAGCAUGGGGAGCGAACAGGAUUAGAUACCUGGUAGUCCAUGCCGUAAACGUUGGGCAUAGGUGUGGGGGACAUUCCACGUUUCCGCGCCGUAUGAACGAUUAAGUGCC
RNAcentral lists this ribosomal RNA (813 nucleotides) under Brevibacterium sp. TAF-2.4a. RNAcentral's name for it is "bacterial SSU rRNA". It matches the Rfam family "Bacterial small subunit ribosomal RNA", at positions 41 to 868 of the family's 1533-position model. Lineage: Bacteria; Bacillati; Actinomycetota; Actinomycetes; Micrococcales; Brevibacteriaceae. The record is from RNAcentral.